Long non-coding RNA from Acinonyx jubatus (cheetah), 1536 nucleotides. RefSeq lists it as uncharacterized. The transcript is spliced from 6 exons. The record is from RefSeq and is a predicted model, not a curated record. NCBI's taxonomy places the organism in Eukaryota, Metazoa, Chordata, Mammalia, Carnivora, Felidae.
UUUGCUGGCCCCGUGCAGUGCAGACCCUCGUUGUCUUCGCUCGGCCGGUGGGCACGGACCCCUCUCCCCUCUUCUCCCACGCGGACUUUCCUUCUCCCCUUGGGCGCGGACUCCCCAUCCUGGGGCGCCGGGUGCCUUUUCUCUCCACUCAGGUCUAUGUGCAUCCUGAGUUUGCAGAGCGUUUGAUGGAGAUAUCUUGAGUUGGCUCUUUGUGUCUUCCCCACUAGAAAGCCAGCUGCACCCGGCAGUGGUCUUCAUCUGUCUCAUCCACCGCUGAUUCAUUCCUACCAAGAACAGGGCCUGGCACACACCCCACCUCUGAUGCACAGCUGGGAAGUUUGCAGUUUUUCAGCCAUCCCUACAGUGCUUUAGCGGGCAUCUUGAACAUGUGUCUUUGUAAAUCAGUAAUAUCAAAAGGAAGAAGAACUGAAUGACUAGUGAGAUUGAUCCCUUUGAGGAAAGACUAGAGCUUUGAAGGAAAAGGCUGUUACUGAGCAAACCCUUGGUUGCUCAGAAGGCCUGUACAAGAUAUGCAAUCCCAGUUGAAGAAAAAUUGUAUGAAAUUGCAUGAAAACAUUGGACCAGGACCAUGCCCUGUGAGUGUUAGUGUCAUGGGUAAGAGUGCAUCUUUUGACUUCAGUCAUCCCUGGGUUUCUCAUGGGUUUACAUCUUAAUAGCUCUGUGACCUUAGGUGAAUUAUUUUUUCUUUAAACAUUAUUUUUAAGUUCAUUUUUGAAAGACAGACCAUGUGAGUGGGAGAGGGGCAGAAAGAGAGGGAGAGAGAGAAUCCCAAGCAGGCUCCACACUGUCAGCACAGAGCCCAGUGUGGGGCUCCAACUCAUGAAACCAUGAGAUCAUGACCUGAGCUGAAACCAAGAGUUGGGCGCUUACCUAACUGAACCACCCAGGUGCCCCUAGGUGAAUUAUUGUGCCUUACUUCCUCAUUUAUAAAAUGUAGACAAGCCCUAGCUCAUUUGGAUUAAGAGAAGUUAGGUGUGGAGAAGGUCUGGGAUGUAACAGUUUUUAGUAUUGGUUGUAUUGGUUGCUUCUGUGCUCAUGUUCACACCCUUGUUGUUGCUAUUAUUGUUCUCUUAUUAUUACUGCUGCUCAUGUUGUUGAUGUUUUGUUAUUGUUGUUGAUUUUGUUGCUAUUGCUGUUAAUGGUGAUGACAUUGAUGUUACUCUUCUCUGACUCGGGAGGCUAAAACAGAAGGUACACCAGUGGCCUUCCCAACAACCAUAUCACCCAUAGUUCAUAGAUGGCAUUGCUUCCCAAACUCUGGUAUACAUGAUUGCCUGGAAGCCUCCCAAGAACUGCCAGACCCAGAUAGUUUUGUUGAUGAAUUCCACCCAACAGUUAAGGAAGAAAUGAUGCCAGUUCCACACUUUCAGAAAAUAAAAGGAAGACACACUUGAUUCAUUUUAUAAGGUCAGUAUUACCUGGAUUCUAAAACCAGACAAUGACAAGAAAACUACAGAGUGAUAUCCCUCAUGAAUAUAAACACAGAUAUUCUCAUUAAAAUAUCAGCAAAUUGAA